Alligator mississippiensis (American alligator) is the source of this 832-nucleotide long non-coding RNA. RefSeq lists it as uncharacterized. NCBI's taxonomy places the organism in Eukaryota, Metazoa, Chordata, Crocodylia, Alligatoridae. The record is from RefSeq and is a predicted model, not a curated record. The transcript has 2 exons.
GCCGCCGCCGCCACGCGAGGCAUUGUGGGUACCGGGGUCGCGCCGCGCUGAGGGGGCGGGGCUUGAGGCGCUGCCCCGGGCGGUUCAAACCGGCCCCCGCCGCGCCCGCAGCAGUGACCGCCGCUUCCGGGCGCCCUGCCACGGAGCAGAGCUGCGCCUCGUGCUCCCAGCCAGACAGCGAGUGGGAGCCAAGAAAGCCUGCGAAGAGCUGUGUUCCAGCCGGUCUAAUAUCCCCGCUACCCAAAGGACCUCGCCUGAAAGCCAAGCUGGCGCUUUCCUCUGGUCUAAAUUGGUGUCUAGAGACUGACUGGUUCAGAGCGGUCUGAGCUUUAGUAGGCAACAACCUGCCUGGGCUGGUGCUGUCCCCAUUUUACCUUGUGGCUUGGGGUCUACCAUGCUGCUCUGGUCACAAGGCUACCUUUAGUUCCCUCCAGAAUCCAGAGUGCAACCCCUCGUCCUGAGGCAGGAUCAGCCCUGUCCAAACCAUCCUGUACAAUACAUCAUCUAAGCUCUAUGUAAGACUGCUGUCAGCCCAGACAGAACAUGGACCUAACACCAUAAACCUGCCAUAUGUAAAGCAGGGGAACUGUGGCAGUGGGUUCAGUGCUUUUAACUAGUUAUUUGAUUCUCUUGUGGGAGUCUCUAUCCAUCCUUAUCCACUUGUGUUCAAGGAAAAAAACCUCUUUCCUAAAACCAAAAAAUGUGGAGGUAACUUGUAUGCAGGCUAGAUUUAUAAUUGGAAUAUUAUGGUAUCGUUCCUUAAAUUACUGGAAAAGGGGGGGAUGUUACAUCAAAUUCAUAAUACAUAAAUAAACACUGGAUUUAGAGUUAA